AUACGUAGGUGGCAAGCGUUGUCCGGAAUUAUUGGGCGUAAAGCGCAUGUAGGCGGUUUGGUAAGUCGGUCGUGAAAAUGCGGUGCUUAACGCCGUAUGGCGAUUGAAACUGCUGAACUUGAGUGCAGGAGAGGAAAGGGGAACUCCCAGUGUAGCGGUGAAAUGCGUAGAUAUUGGGAAGAACACCGGUGGCGAAGGCGCCUUUCAGGACUGUGUCUGACGCUCAGAUGCGAAAGCCAGGGUAGCGAACGGGAUUAGAUACCCCGGUAGUCCUGGCCGUAAACGAUGGGUACUAGGUGUGGGAGGUAUCGACUCCUUCCGUGCCGGAGUUAACGCAAUAAGUACCCCGCCUGGGGAGUACGGCCGCAAGGCUUAAACUUAAAGGAAUUGGCGGGG
Molecule: ribosomal RNA, 396 nt
Filed under: uncultured bacterium
Lineage: Bacteria
Description: partial 16S ribosomal RNA
Rfam family: Bacterial small subunit ribosomal RNA
Source: RNAcentral